RNAcentral lists this ribosomal RNA (450 nucleotides) under uncultured organism. RNAcentral's name for it is "partial 16S ribosomal RNA". It matches the Rfam family "Bacterial small subunit ribosomal RNA", at positions 331 to 797 of the family's 1533-position model. The record is from RNAcentral.
GUACACUCCUGCGGGAGGCAGCAGUGGGGAAUAUUGGACAAUGGGCGCAAGCCUGAUCCAGCCAUGCCGCGUGAGUGAUGAAGGCCCUAGGGUUGUAAAGCUCUUUCACCGGUGAAGAUAAUGACGGUAACCGGAGAAGAAGCCCCGGCUAACUUCGUGCCAGCAGCCGCGGUAAUACGAAGGGGGCUAGCGUUGUUCGGAUUUACUGGGCGUAAAGCGCACGUAGGCGGACUAUUAAGUCAGGGGUGAAAUCCCGGGGCUCAACCCCGGAACUGCCUUUGAUACUGGUAGUCUUGAGUUCGAGAGAGGUGAGUGGAAUUCCGAGUGUAGAGGUGAAAUUCGUAGAUAUUCGGAGGAACACCAGUGGCGAAGGCGGCUCACUGGCUCGAUACUGACGCUGAGGUGCGAAAGCGUGGGGAGCAAACAGGAUUAGAAACCCGGGUAGUCCCA